Molecule: small nucleolar RNA, 134 nt
Organism: Delphinapterus leucas (beluga whale)
Lineage: Eukaryota; Metazoa; Chordata; Mammalia; Artiodactyla; Monodontidae
Gene: SNORA71
Rfam family: Small nucleolar RNA SNORA71
About the family: The members of this family belong to the H/ACA class of snoRNAs which bind a number of proteins (including dyskerin, Gar1p and Nop10p) to form snoRNP complexes. This class of snoRNAs are thought to guide the sites of modification of uridines to pseudouridines by forming direct base pairing interactions with substrate RNAs.
Source: Ensembl
CCCUGCAUUCGGAAGUGAUCGUGGGCUGCCCGUGCCCUGGUCAUUGAUAGUGCAGGGAGAGGAGUUGCUGAAAGCCUUUCCCCGUGUUUGGAGGGUUCACUCCUGUCCCUUGCAAACUCUGGAGCUUUCGUACA